Molecule: ribosomal RNA, 314 nt
Filed under: uncultured Pseudoflavonifractor sp.
Lineage: Bacteria; Bacillati; Bacillota; Clostridia; Eubacteriales; Oscillospiraceae
Description: bacterial SSU rRNA
Rfam family: Bacterial small subunit ribosomal RNA
Source: RNAcentral
UGGGGAAUAUUGGGCAAUGGGCGCAAGCCUGACCCAGCAACGCCGCGUGAAGGAAGAAGGCUUUCGGGUUGUAAACUUCUUUUGUCAGGGACGAGCGGAAGACGGUACCUGACGAAUAAGCCACGGCUAACUACGUGCCAGCAGCCGCGGUAAUACGUAGGUGGCAAGCGUUGUCCGGAUUUACUGGGUGUAAAGGGCGUGUAGCCGGGAGGGCAAGUCAGAUGUGAAAUCCACGGGCUUAACUCGUGAACUGCAUUUGAAACUGUUCUUCUUGAGUAUCGGAGAGGCAAUCGGAAUUCCUAGUGUAGCGGUGA